UCUGAUGAUGUGUCGCCUAUCAUUUGGAGGUGCAGAUGGCUUUGGGAUCCUGUUUACAAGAUGAACAUACCUGGAGGCACUGUAUCCACAUGACAUUGACGAGCAAGUCUAAGG
Molecule: non-coding RNA, 114 nt
Organism: Triticum aestivum (bread wheat)
Lineage: Eukaryota; Viridiplantae; Streptophyta; Magnoliopsida; Poales; Poaceae
Source: Rfam